RNAcentral lists this ribosomal RNA (115 nucleotides) under Flavobacteriaceae bacterium. RNAcentral's name for it is "partial 16S ribosomal RNA". It matches the Rfam family "Bacterial small subunit ribosomal RNA", at positions 1 to 108 of the family's 1533-position model. The record is from RNAcentral. Lineage: Bacteria; Pseudomonadati; Bacteroidota; Flavobacteriia; Flavobacteriales; Flavobacteriaceae.
UUUUACAAUGAAGAGUUUGAUCCUGGCUCAGGAUGAACGCUAGCGGCAGGCCUAAUACAUGCAAGUCGAACGGUAACAUUGGUGCUUGCACCAGAUGACGAGUGGCGCACGGGUG